This 1715-nucleotide ribosomal RNA is filed under the name Escherichia coli. Its description in RNAcentral is "partial 23S ribosomal RNA". It matches the Rfam family "Bacterial large subunit ribosomal RNA", at positions 1100 to 2798 of the family's 2925-position model. Lineage: Bacteria; Pseudomonadati; Pseudomonadota; Gammaproteobacteria; Enterobacterales; Enterobacteriaceae. The record is from RNAcentral.
GUUGGCUUAGAAGCAGCCAUCAUUUAAAGAAAGCGUAAUAGCUCACUGGUCGAGUCGGCCUGCGCGGAAGAUGUAACGGGGCUAAACCAUGCACCGAAGCUGCGGCAGCGACACUAUGUGUUGUUGGGUAGGGGAGCGUUCUGUAAGCCUGUGAAGGUGUGCUGUGAGGCAUGCUGGAGGUAUCAGAAGUGCGAAUGCUGACAUAAGUAACGAUAAAGCGGGUGAAAAGCCCGCUCGCCGGAAGACCAAGGGUUCCUGUCCAACGUUAAUCGGGGCAGGGUGAGUCGACCCCUAAGGCGAGGCCGAAAGGCGUAGUCGAUGGGAAACAGGUUAAUAUUCCUGUACUUGGUGUUACUGCGAAGGGGGGACGGAGAAGGCUAUGUUGGCCGGGCGACGGUUGUCCCGGUUUAAGCGUGUAGGCUGGUUUUCCAGGCAAAUCCGGAAAAUCAAGGCUGAGGCGUGAUGACGAGGCACUACGGUGCUGAAGCAACAAAUGCCCUGCUUCCAGGAAAAGCCUCUAAGCAUCAGGUAACAUUAAAUCGUACCCCAAACCGACACAGGUGGUCAGGUAGAGAAUACCAAGGCGCUUGAGAGAACUCGGGUGAAGGAACUAGGCAAAAUGGUGCCGUAACUUCGGGAGAAGGCACGCUGAUAUGUAGGUGAAGUCCCUCGCGGAUGGAGCUGAAAUCAGUCGAAGAUACCAGCUGGCUGCAACUGUUUAUUAAAAACACAGCACUGUGCAAACACGAAAGUGGACGUAUACGGUGUGACGCCUGCCCGGUGCCGGAAGGUUAAUUGAUGGGGUUAGCGGUAACGCGAAGCUCUUGAUCGAAGCCCCGGUAAACGGCGGCCGUAACUAUAACGGUCCUAAGGUAGCGAAAUUCCUUGUCGGGUAAGUUCCGACCUGCACGAAUGGCGUAAUGAUGGCCAGGCUGUCUCCACCCGAGACUCAGUGAAAUUGAACUCGCUGUGAAGAUGCAGUGUACCCGCGGCAAGACGGAAAGACCCCGUGAACCUUUACUAUAGCUUGACACUGAACAUUGAGCCUUGAUGUGUAGGAUAGGUGGGAGGCUUUGAAGUGUGGACGCCAGUCUGCAUGGAGCCGACCUUGAAAUACCACCCUUUAAUGUUUGAUGUUCUAACGUUGACCCGUAAUCCGGGUUGCGGACAGUGUCUGGUGGGUAGUUUGACUGGGGCGGUCUCCUCCUAAAGAGUAACGGAGGAGCACGAAGGUUGGCUAAUCCUGGUCGGACAUCAGGAGGUUAGUGCAAUGGCAUAAGCCAGCUUGACUGCGAGCGUGACGGCGCGAGCAGGUGCGAAAGCAGGUCAUAGUGAUCCGGUGGUUCUGAAUGGAAGGGCCAUCGCUCAACGGAUAAAAGGUACUCCGGGGAUAACAGGCUGAUACCGCCCAAGAGUUCAUAUCGACGGCGGUGUUUGGCACCUCGAUGUCGGCUCAUCACAUCCUGGGGCUGAAGUAGGUCCCAAGGGUAUGGCUGUUCGCCAUUUAAAGUGGUACGCGAGCUGGGUUUAGAACGUCGUGAGACAGUUCGGUCCCUAUCUGCCGUGGGCGCUGGAGAACUGAGGGGGGCUGCUCCUAGUACGAGAGGACCGGAGUGGACGCAUCACUGGUGUUCGGGUUGUCAUGCCAAUGGCACUGCCCGGUAGCUAAAUGCGGAAGAGAUAAGUGCUGAAAGCAUCUAAGCACGAAACUUGCC